Molecule: ribosomal RNA, 430 nt
Filed under: uncultured bacterium
Lineage: Bacteria
Description: bacterial SSU rRNA
Rfam family: Bacterial small subunit ribosomal RNA
Source: RNAcentral
UGGGGAAUUGUUCGCAAUGGGCGCAAGCCUGACGACGCAACGCCGCGUGAAGGAUGAAGGUCUUCGGAUUGUAAACUUCUGUUGGGUGGGACGAACACCUCCGGGAUCAAUACCCCUGGAGGCUGACGGUACCACCUGAGGAAGCCCCGGCUAACUCUGUGCCAGCAGCCGCGGUAAUACAGAGGGGGCAAGCGUUGUUCGGAAUUACUGGGCGUAAAGGGCGCGUAGGCGGCCUAUUAAGUCAGACGUGAAAUCCCUCGGCUCAACCGGGGAACUGCGUCUGAUACUGGUGGGCUUGAGUUCGGGAGAGGGAUGUGGAAUUCCAGGUGUAGCGGUGAAAUGCGUAGAUAUCUGGAGGAACACCGGUGGCGAAGGCGGCAUCCUGGACCGACACUGACGCUGAGGCGCGAAAGCCAGGGGAGCAAACGGG